AGUUUGUCUGUAUUUAUGGAAAUAAAAAAUAUUUUUACCUCGUCGAUUUUUUAAUGAAAUAGAUAUUAUAUAAAUUCAGAUACUAUAAAUAUUGUGCAUUGUGCUAGUUUGUUAAUAGUUGGGGUUAAACCUCUAUUCAGAACACUGUUUUAUAACCUAUAAAGAUUUGUCUGUUUAUGUUAUGCUUUACUUGAAUAAAUGGCAGAAAGUAGAUUUUAAUAAUAUGCAAGAAAAGGAGAGUUACAAGUAAAGUUUUCAAGCAGGAAUUGAAACUGGUAAUGCUGACGGUUUCCAUUUAGAUCAUCACAGAGGCUUUCAACGCGGACGUGAAUUAGUGAUCGGCUUGACAGGAGGUACGAAGAGUCAAACGGGCCCACGCCCCACUCUUCCCAAUAGAAAGAAGGGUACAAUCUGUGUCGUCCCACGCGAAAGGCGUAGGAUACGAAGGAAACCACCCACCCCACCACCUCCUAGUUCCUCCCUGAAAUGGGCCGUAUUAGCCUUGGCUGGUGCAAUCGUAAUAGGCUUCGUCAUUAAGAAGGCGUUGGCUAAGUAAAACUACGGGACUAAUCCAUAAGUUAUCAAAGUGGCUGUUUUAGAUAUAGAAAAACACCUGUAGCUCUAACAGAUUGACAGAUUUUAUUAAUAACAUGUGCGUAAGAUGUCUAUAAAAUGGUAAAAAUCUCUUUAAAAAAAUUGAUACACUUUUUUCUUUGCCCUCGAUGCGCUGAACUAACUUCUAGUUGAGCUACAGAUAAUGUAUUCACUCACAUAACAGAAUUGUUAUACAUACUAUAAUUUAUAAAUUUUGAAACAUGAUUUAUAUUUAAAAGAAUGAC
Long non-coding RNA from Pieris brassicae (large cabbage white), 839 nucleotides. RefSeq lists it as uncharacterized. The transcript is spliced from 4 exons. Lineage: Eukaryota; Metazoa; Arthropoda; Insecta; Lepidoptera; Pieridae. The record is from RefSeq and is a predicted model, not a curated record.